UCCUUUCUUGAACUACAAGGACCUACCAAAUAAAACAAUUUAAUUGCCAAAAUAAGUACCGAGCCACUAUGUUGCACACUGAUAUGACAUGGCUGAAUCAACAAGGCUACAAGACUAGUAAUGGGCCUAGACAACUCAGAGUUUAUACAAGGAGAAAAAUAAGAAGAAAUGGAGCAGAGGUUUUAGAGAAUUCUGGAAGUGCUGACUUGGGUGACAGAAUAGUAACUGUUGUUUAUGAAGAGGAUUCUCGAAGCACUGACAUGGAUAACAAAUUGGUGCUCUUUACAUGUGCUGCAGAAAGAUAUAAGAAACCAUCCAUGAAAGAAAGAAGGCAUCCUUAUCUCAUGUGAUCUUGCACUCGGCUUAGUGCUGGGCCUGAGUAGUUUCUUUUGGGAAUUCUCUGGUUUAAUUUGUCUAUGUAAUAGCCAUUACUGGCUAAACUAAGUUGUAUUGUUGUUUUUACUUCUUCAAAAUAAUACCAGAUUGCCUUCCUCUACAUUUCAGUGUUUUGCUCUGUUCAUUUAUUUUGAUUCGUUCCUAACUCUAUCAGAAUUGAUAAAGGAAAAUUUUGAUUACACAACUUGGAGAGAAAAUUACCACUUGAAUAGUAAUUUUUAUACUGAUCGAUGCAUUCAUUUAAAUGUAGAAUUUUUUUAUUGUACAUUUUUCAGGAAGCAAUUUCUAGUGAGUCUAGACCAAAUGGAGAAGUCAGAAAGAAUCGUCUUGUUUCCAAGUAUUAAUAUUUUUUUCCUAUCCAAUAUUUUCCCAAUUAAGCAGUAUCAAUUUUCAUCCCCAAAGCUGUGACUGGAAACACAUGCAGCCCAAACUGUAAAAAUAAUUAAAAUGCAGACCCCUUGAUCUAAUAUAGAGCUUAAAUUAAGGGAUUGACAAAUGAAACUGAAGAGACACUUUUGCUGAUGAGCAACAAGUCUUAAGGGUAUGAAACUAAGUUGCAAUAAAUGCCAGAAUUUCAAGAGAACAACUUUAACCAAUAUUCUAGCUGAAACUUCGGAGAGCAACAUAUAGAAAAUGUUGAACAAACCAAAACCCAUAAGAUUACCAAAUACUCGUGACAUUGAAUUUUAACUAAAUAUACAACAAAGCACUCAUGGUGUAUAGAAUUAUAGUGUCAUUAAUGGAGUGCAUGCAGGCUUGCGUGUUCAAAGAAUAAAUAUAUAAUUAAAAGCUCAACAACAAUAAUUCUAUUGAGAUUUAACAUUACUGCAGAACAACUACAUAACUAUAGAAGCUGUGCUUCGAAAUACAGCCCCAUAGCUGUCAUCCUAGAAAUGCAGAAAGACUGCCUCUUAAAAAAUGAGCCCAGCAAAGGUCCAGUUCCACAUUCAAUCAAUUUCACAAUUCCAGAAACAAGACUAACAAUUAUCCAAAGAUUAAUUUCAGCACCAGCCCAACUACAAUUCUUUCUAUUACGAAUUCUCAAACCCAAUUUCCAGCACAAAGGUGGCAGAAAUUUAAAGGUUACUACUUUUUUAUAGCCAUGAAAAAUAUAGGAAGCCAUAUUCCACCAUUUAGGUUCAGUAUGUCCACAGAAUCAAUAUAAUACAGAAUUUUAGGUAGCAUGUUCAAAUAGCCACCCCAUUAUUAUACGCUUCACUCUUUGCUUAUUUUGGAAAGAAAAAGAGAAGGGGGGAAAAAAGAGCUGAAAACACUUUUCAGUCCACCACUGAUUAAAUUUUGGCUCAACAAUAACACGUUGAAUUAAAUAGAACUUUAUGUGGGUCGUAGCCAUGGUUUCAAAUUGCGGUCGUGGUCAUGGGUAAAGGAAAUAGGCCUAUAACAGCCAUAACAUAACAGUAAUGGCCUGACACUAUGCAAACUUUUUUGAAAAAUUUGGAAAGUUCAUAAAAUGACUAAAUAUUGGUAGAUACAAGUAAAAUU
Molecule: unclassified non-coding RNA, 1899 nt
Filed under: Hevea brasiliensis (rubber tree)
Lineage: Eukaryota; Viridiplantae; Streptophyta; Magnoliopsida; Malpighiales; Euphorbiaceae
Source: RNAcentral